UUUGCCCUAUAUAUUACAGAGUCUAAACCCUAACCCCUCACUCCCUCUCACUCUCUCUCUCUCCUCUCUUUUAUCUCCCCCGCCUCCUUGGUCGUCUCCUCUGGUGGCCCCACCGGCGACACCACUGCCUCCGCCACCACCUCCUCCUCCCUCGCCGCCGUCUUUCUCUUCUCCUAUUCUCUUCACUGAUCUUCACCGGUCGUCUACUUCGUCUUCUCCACCCUCGUCGUCGGUUCCAAAACCCUAACCCUACAAAGGACUACCGCCGGACUCGUCAGAAUGGCGAUCUCAAACGGGCUGAUUGCGAUGAAAGAUCAGGCAAUCUUCUCUGAUCAGAACUCUGCACCUGAUUCAGCCUUGAGUUAACUGUGUCUGUGAAGCCCCAAACUGACAUUGAAGGCCUCAACAUUGCCGAUGAUGUCUCUCAGACAGAACUUUGUCCUCUUUGGAGUUGCCUAGGGCUGUUGCUGUUGCAACUGUGCCAUCUUCACCUAUCUCAAAUGGUGGGCCCCCCUCAUGAAAAUCAAGACAGGACUGAAGUAGGUACUUUUGAUGGAACUGGCAGGCUUAAGUUCAGGAUCCUGCUCAAUAUAUUUCAAUUCAAC
Molecule: non-coding RNA, 605 nt
Organism: Camellia sinensis
Lineage: Eukaryota; Viridiplantae; Streptophyta; Magnoliopsida; Ericales; Theaceae
Source: RefSeq, a predicted model, not a curated record